GACGAACGCUGGCGGCGUGCCUAAUACAUGCAAGUAGAACGCUGAAGCGAGGAGCUUGCUCUUCUUGGAUGAGUUGCGAACGGGUGAGUAACGCGUAGGUAACCUGCCUGGUAGCGGGGGAUAACUAUUGGAAACGAUAGCUAAUACCGCAUAAAAUUGAUUAUUGCAUGAUAAUUAAUUGAAAGAUGCAACUGCAUCACUACCAGAUGGACCUGCGUUGUAUUAGCUAGUUGGUGAGGUAACGGCUCACCAAGGCGACGAUACAUAGCCGACCUGAGAGGGUGAGCGGCCACACUGGGACUGAGACACGGCCCAGACUCCUACGGGAGGCAGCAGUAGGGAAUCUUCGGCAAUGGGGGGAACCCUGACCGAGCAACGCCGCGUGAGUGAAGAAGGUUUUCGGAUCGUAAAGCUCUGUUGUAAGAGAAGAACGGGUGUGAGAGUGGAAAGUUCACACUGUGACGGUACCUUACCAGAAAGGGACGGCUAACUACGUG
This 497-nucleotide ribosomal RNA is filed under the name uncultured bacterium. RNAcentral describes it as "partial 16S ribosomal RNA". It matches the Rfam family "Bacterial small subunit ribosomal RNA", at positions 28 to 507 of the family's 1533-position model. The record is from RNAcentral.